This 303-nucleotide ribosomal RNA is filed under the name uncultured bacterium. RNAcentral describes it as "partial 16S ribosomal RNA". It matches the Rfam family "Bacterial small subunit ribosomal RNA", at positions 507 to 807 of the family's 1533-position model. The record is from RNAcentral.
AGCAGUCGCCGCGGUAAAACGAGGGGGGCAAGCGUUGUUCGGAAUUAUUGGGCGUAAAGGGUGCGUAGGCGGUUUGACAAGUCUUAUGUGAAAUCUCUGGGCUCAACCCAGAGUCUGCAUGGGAAACUGUCGAGCUUGAGUAUGGGAGAGGUGAGUGGAAUUUCCGGUGUAGCGGUGAAAUGCGUAGAUAUCGGAAGGAACACCUGUGGCGAAAGCGGCUCACUGGACCAUUACUGACGCUGAUGCACGAAAGCUAGGGGAGCAAACAGGAUUAGAUACCCCAGUAGUCCCUGUCUCUUAUAC